RNAcentral lists this unclassified non-coding RNA (261 nucleotides) under uncultured Hypocreales. RNAcentral's name for it is "sequence contains 5.8S rRNA gene, ITS2, 28S rRNA gene". The stretch from base 1 to 52 matches the Rfam family "5.8S ribosomal RNA", at positions 103 to 154 of the family's 154-position model. Lineage: Eukaryota; Fungi; Ascomycota; Sordariomycetes; Hypocreales. The record is from RNAcentral.
AACGCACAUUGCGCCCGCCAGUAUUCUGGCGGGCAUGCCUGUCCGAGCGUCAUUUCAACCCUCGAACCCCUCCGGGGGGUCGGCGUUGGGGAUCGGCCCUUUACGGGGCCGGCCCCGAAAUACAGUGGCGGUCUCGCCGCAGCCUCUCCUGCGCAGUAGUUUGCACACUCGCAUCGGGAGCGCGGCGCGUCCAUUGCCGUAAAACACCCAACUUUCUGAAAUGUUGACCUCGGAUCAGGUAGGAAUACCCGCUGAACUUAA